UCGGUACGUACUGGUGUUACUGAUUUCUACCUUCUGACGAACCAUCAUGUCAUUAAUUCGGUGUGGUGGGGAAUCAGGACUGUUACUUUGAAAAAAUUAGAGUGUUUAAAGCAGGCUCGCGCUUGAAUACAUUAGCAUGGAAUAAUGAAAUAGGACGUUGAUCCUAUUUUGUUGGUUUCUAGGAUUGACGUAAUGAUUAAUAGGGAUAGUUGGGGGCAUUAGUAUUCAAUUGUCAGAGGUGAAAUUCUUGGAUUUAUUGAAGACUAACUACUGCGAAAGCAUUUGCCAAGGAUGUUUUCAUUAAUCAAGAACGAAAGUUAGGGGAUCGAAGACGAUCAGAUACCGUCGUAGUCUUAACCAUAAACUAUGCCGACUAGGGAUCGGAUGAUGUUAUUUUUAAUGACUCAUUCGGCGCCUUACG
This 421-nucleotide ribosomal RNA is filed under the name uncultured Glomeromycotina. RNAcentral describes it as "SSU rRNA". It matches the Rfam family "Eukaryotic small subunit ribosomal RNA", at positions 670 to 1092 of the family's 1831-position model. The record is from RNAcentral. Lineage: Eukaryota; Fungi; Glomeromycota.